CGGUGGAUCACUCGGCUCGUGGAUCGAUGAAGAACGCAGCAAACUGCGCGUCGAAUUGUGAACUGCAGGACACAUGAACAUCGACGCUUCGAACGCACAUUGCAGCCCACGGAUUCUGUUCCCGGGUUACGCCUGGCUGAGGGCCGGC
This 148-nucleotide ribosomal RNA is filed under the name Calopteryx cornelia. Its description in RNAcentral is "5.8S ribosomal RNA". It matches the Rfam family "5.8S ribosomal RNA". From Rfam's summary of the family: 5.8S ribosomal RNA (5.8S rRNA) is a component of the large subunit of the eukaryotic ribosome. It is transcribed by RNA polymerase I as part of the 45S precursor that also contains 18S and 28S rRNA. RNAcentral also lists the same sequence under 1 other name. Lineage: Eukaryota; Metazoa; Arthropoda; Insecta; Odonata; Calopterygidae. The record is from RNAcentral.